GUGCUCACUUCGGUAGCACAUAUACUAAAAUUGGAAUGAUACAGAGAAGAUUAGCAUGGCCCCUGCGCAAGGAUAACAUGUAAAAAUGAUUUACUCCUUACAAACUC
Molecule: small nuclear RNA, 107 nt
Organism: Cavia aperea (Brazilian guinea pig)
Lineage: Eukaryota; Metazoa; Chordata; Mammalia; Rodentia; Caviidae
Source: Ensembl